UACGGGAGGCAGCAGUGGGGAAUAUUGCACAAUGGGCGCAAGCCUGAUGCAGCCAUGCCGCGUGUAUGAAGAAGGCCUUCGGGUUGUAAAGUACUUUCAGUCGUGAGGAAGGUGUUAAGGUUAAUAACCUUAGCAAUUGACGUUAGCGACAGAAGAAGCACCGGCUAACUCCGUGCCAGCAGCCGCGGUAAUACGGAGGGUGCGAGCGUUAAUCGGAAUUACUGGGCGUAAAGGGCACGCAGGCGGUUAAUUAAGUUGGAUGUGAAAUCCCCGGGCUUAACCUGGGAAUGGCAUUCAAGACUGGUUAGCUAGAGUCUUGUAGAGGGGGUAGAAUUCCAUGUGUAGCGGUGAAAUGCGUAGAGAUGUGGAGGAAUACCGGUGGCGAAGGCGGCCCCCGUGGACAAAGACUGACGCUCAUGUGCGAAAGCGUGGGGAGCAAACAGGGAUUAGAUACC
This 455-nucleotide ribosomal RNA is filed under the name uncultured bacterium. RNAcentral describes it as "bacterial SSU rRNA". It matches the Rfam family "Bacterial small subunit ribosomal RNA", at positions 340 to 786 of the family's 1533-position model. The record is from RNAcentral.